Molecule: ribosomal RNA, 229 nt
Filed under: uncultured bacterium
Lineage: Bacteria
Description: partial 16S ribosomal RNA
Rfam family: Bacterial small subunit ribosomal RNA
Source: RNAcentral
GGUGUAGGCGGCUUGGCAAGUCGGAUGUGAAAUCCCAGGGCCCAACCCUGGAACUGCAUUCGAAACUGCCUCGCUAGAGUCCCGGAGAGGGUGGCGGAAUUCCCGGUGUAAGGGUGAAAUCCGUAGAUAUCGGGAGGAACACCAGUGGCGAAGGCGGCCACCUGGACGGUGACUGACGCUCAGACCCGAAAGCGUGGGGAGCAAACAGGAUUAGAUACCCUGGUAGUCC